Molecule: transfer RNA, 73 nt
Filed under: Candidatus Roizmanbacteria bacterium
Lineage: Bacteria; Candidatus Roizmaniibacteriota
Also listed under: 1 other name
Description: tRNA-Asp
Rfam family: tRNA
About the family: Transfer RNA (tRNA) molecules are approximately 80 nucleotides in length. Their secondary structure includes four short double-helical elements and three loops (D, anti-codon, and T loops).
Source: RNAcentral
GCGGACGUAGCUCAAUUGGCAGAGCACUUCCCUGUCACGGAAGGGGUUGCGGGUUCGAGUCCCGUCGUUCGCG